CAGGUGCUGGCUGUGCAUCCUCAGCGAGCAGCUAGGGCGUACUCAGUCCGAGUCGGCCAAAGCCGACAACAUCCGUAUCCAGGGAUAUCGAGAAGGGCAGGUUAGGGAUCUUCUUCGUGAAAAGAGUUCAUUUAAAAACCAACCGGACUGGGUUACAGUUCUUGAUGGAUCUCGGGAAGGUGCAUAUGAAUGGAUGUGAUGGUAGGGUGCUGACAUUGGAGGAACAAGCAAGCGAAUCGGGAACAAAUGAGGAAGUUAGACAAGUAAGAUGGAA
Lolium rigidum is the source of this 274-nucleotide long non-coding RNA. RefSeq lists it as uncharacterized. NCBI's taxonomy places the organism in Eukaryota, Viridiplantae, Streptophyta, Magnoliopsida, Poales, Poaceae. The record is from RefSeq and is a predicted model, not a curated record. The transcript has 3 exons.